Molecule: ribosomal RNA, 484 nt
Filed under: Bacillus haynesii
Lineage: Bacteria; Bacillati; Bacillota; Bacilli; Caryophanales; Bacillaceae
Description: bacterial LSU rRNA
Rfam family: Bacterial large subunit ribosomal RNA
Source: RNAcentral
CGGUUAAGUUAGAAAGGGCGCACGGUGGAUGCCUUGGCACUAGGAGCCGAUGAAGGACGGGACGAACACCGAUAUGCUUCGGGGAGCUGUAAGCAAGCUUUGAUCCGGAGAUUUCCGAAUGGGGAAACCCACUGCUCGUAAUGGAGCAGUAUCCAUAUCUGAAUUCAUAGGAUAUGAGAAGGCAGACCCGGGGAACUGAAACAUCUAAGUACCCGGAGGAAGAGAAAGCAAAUGCGAUUCCCUGAGUAGCGGCGAGCGAAACGGGAUUAGCCCAAACCAAGAGGCUUGCCUCUUGGGGUUGUAGGACACUCUGUACGGAGUUACAAAAGAACGAGGUAGAUGAAGAGGUCUGGAAAGGCCCGCCAUAGGAGGUAACAGCCCUGUAGUCAAAACUUCGUUCUCUCCUGAGUGGAUCCUGAGUACGGCGGAACACGUGAAAUUCCGUCGGAAUCCGGGAGGACCAUCUCCCAAGGCUAAAUACUCC